CUUGCACGCUGGCGGCCUGCCUUACACCUGCCCGUCGAACGGUCCCCGGUCUUCGGCUGCUGACGAGUGGCGCACGGGUGAGUACUGCCUCGGAACGUGCCCAGUUGUGGGGGCUACAUGCUCGCCCGCGCAGCUAAUCCCGCAUACGACCUGCGGGUGAAAGCGGCUUCUCUCAAGACCUCGCGCCAUUGGAGCGGCCGCGGUCAGAUUAGGUAGUUGGUGGGGUAAAGGCCUACCAAGCCGACGAUCUGUAGUUGGUCUGAGAGGACGACCAGCCACACUGGGACUGAGACACGGCCCUGACUCCUACGGGAGGCAGCAGUGGGGAAUUUUGGACAAUGGGCGCAAGCCUGAUCCAGCAAUGCCGCGUGCAGGAAGAAGGCCUUCGGGUUGUAAACUGCUUUUGUCAGGGAAGAAAUCCUCUGGGUUAAUACCCCGGGGGGAUGACGGUACCUGAAGAAUAAGCACCGGCUAACUACGGGCCAGCCGCCGCCGUAA
RNAcentral lists this ribosomal RNA (498 nucleotides) under uncultured bacterium. RNAcentral describes it as "partial 16S ribosomal RNA". It matches the Rfam family "Bacterial small subunit ribosomal RNA", at positions 30 to 523 of the family's 1533-position model. The record is from RNAcentral.